RNAcentral lists this ribosomal RNA (602 nucleotides) under Actinomycetales bacterium A252. Its description in RNAcentral is "bacterial SSU rRNA". It matches the Rfam family "Bacterial small subunit ribosomal RNA", at positions 55 to 677 of the family's 1533-position model. Lineage: Bacteria; Bacillati; Actinomycetota; Actinomycetes; Actinomycetales. The record is from RNAcentral.
AUGCAAGUCGAGCGGAAAGGCCCUUCGGGGUACUCGAGCGGCGAACGGGUGAGUAACACGUGAGUAACCUGCCCCUGACUCUGGGAUAAGCCUGGGAAACUGGGUCUAAUACCGGAUAUGACCAUUUCGGGCAUCCGAUGGUGGUGGAAAGUUUUUUCGGUUGGGGAUGGACUCGCGGCCUAUCAGCUUGUUGGUGGGGUAGUGGCCUACCAAGGCGACGACGGGUAGCCGGCCUGAGAGGGCGACCGGCCACACUGGGACUGAGACACGGCCCAGACUCCUACGGGAGGCAGCAGUGGGGAAUAUUGCGCAAUGGGCGGAAGCCUGACGCAGCGACGCCGCGUGGGGGAUGACGGCCUUCGGGUUGUAAACCUCUUUCAGCAGGGACGAAGUUGACGUGUACCUGUAGAAGAAGCGCCGGCUAACUACGUGCCAGCAGCCGCGGUAAUACGUAGGGCGCAAGCGUUGUCCGGAAUUAUUGGGCGUAAAGAGCUCGUAGGUGGCUUGUCGCGUCUGCCGUGAAAGCUUAGGGCUUAACCCUAGGUCUGCGGUGGAUACGGGCAGGCUAGAGGCUGGUAGGGGCAAGCGGAAUUCCUGGUGUA